UUUAGCCGGCGACAGCAUUUUCCCCGACGGCGGCGACACACGAACCCUCGGUCAAACCACGAACCGCCGUUGCUUCUUCCUCGAAGCUCCAUUUCUGAUAGCAAUCUCUGUACACUCCGGCGACGAUUUCUUUCGCCGAAACCCGAAUGCCUUUUGACUCCGACGAGAAUCUUUGCAUCUUCCCGUUGACUUCUCUCAGGUUGACCCAACAGUCUUGUGACCCUUAAGGACUUGUGUCCCUUUCUGUUUCUUCAGAAAAGAGACGCUGUCCUGUUAGUAUCAUGUAGAUGUUGCAACCUUAAUUUCGUCUAUGUAGAAUGUACUCCCCUGCCAAGUAUGUGUAAGCCUCCUGGAAUCACCUAAAGGAAAUUGGUUUUGCUCCAUUGGACUGUAUGAGGAUCAACUCCACAUUACAAAAGUUAUGUCUUGGUUUAGAUAGAUGAAGCAAGAGAGAACUGAUGUAGAUUCCAUCAAUGAUCUUGACAUCAGAUGGUGAUUGAUCAGUGGCAAAGCCAAAUGUUCUUGCUUCCAGCAGCUGACGAGGCAGGUCUCUUAUGGAUGAACAACUUUGGGUUAGAAAAGCUCGCACGUUAAUAGCUCAGCAAGUACAUAAAGACGUGCUACCAAAUGGUGAGGUUCAAAGGAGCAUCCAUGCUGCAGAAACCGGUGCACUCGCACCAAGUCGUUGACAAUAAGAUAAAAUUUUGAUUUGAAACAACCCAAUGAGUUGUAUGUUCAUCCUUUGUGUUGAGGUAAAGCAAGUCAUGUAUUUGGUUAAAGAUGGAUUAAAGAGUGAAGGGGUUAGGAGGCUUUUAAUGAGUUUUUACAACAGAGACGAGUAAAUUUUGUAGAUGCGGAGCUCUUUUUUUUUUGUUGUUACGUAUUAGGUUCACAUUUCUUACAAAGAAUGAAGAAUGUUUUUGUUUGGAUUAUUUAUUAUACAAAACAAACCACAAUGCUCCAAAUUAUG
Molecule: long non-coding RNA, 970 nt
Organism: Camelina sativa (false flax)
Lineage: Eukaryota; Viridiplantae; Streptophyta; Magnoliopsida; Brassicales; Brassicaceae
Source: RefSeq, a predicted model, not a curated record